GUACUCAUUUCAGCAGCACAUACACUAAAAUUGGAAUGACACAGGGAAGAUUAGCAUGCCUCCUGCACAGAGAUGACAUGCAAACUCAUAAAUCAUUCCAUAUUUUU
This is a small nuclear RNA of Manis pentadactyla (Chinese pangolin), 107 nucleotides long. NCBI's taxonomy places the organism in Eukaryota, Metazoa, Chordata, Mammalia, Pholidota, Manidae. The record is from RefSeq and is a predicted model, not a curated record.